CCAAAGGCUCUUUUAAGAGCCACUCCAUGCCCAGUAAAAGGAGCUGU
Non-coding RNA from Tinamus guttatus (white-throated tinamou), 47 nucleotides. NCBI's taxonomy places the organism in Eukaryota, Metazoa, Chordata, Aves, Tinamiformes, Tinamidae. The record is from Rfam.